UAAAACGUAGGACGCAAGCGUUAUCCGGAGUUACUGGGCGUAAAGCGCGGGCAGGCGGUUCUGCCAGUCUGAUGUGAAAUCUCUCAGCUCAACUGGGAGCAGCCAUUGGAAACUACAGAACUGGAGUCUGACAGAGGUAGGCGGAAUUCCGGGUGGAGUGGUGAAAUGCGUAGAGAUCCGGAGGAACACCAGAGGCGAAGGCGGCCUACUGGGUCAGUACUGACGCUGAGCCGCGAAAGCCAGGGGAGCGAACGGGAUUAGAAACCCCGGUAGUCCUGGCCGUAAACGAUGUGUGCUGGGUGGUGGGGGGUCUCCCUUCACUGCCGAAGCUAACGCGAUAAGCACACCGCCUGGGGAGUACGGUCGCAAGGCUA
Molecule: ribosomal RNA, 374 nt
Filed under: uncultured bacterium
Lineage: Bacteria
Description: bacterial SSU rRNA
Rfam family: Bacterial small subunit ribosomal RNA
Source: RNAcentral